UCCCAGGUGGCUCAGAUGGUAAAGAAUCCGCCUGUGAUGCGGGAGGCCUGGGUUUGAUCCUUAGGCUGGGAA
Molecule: transfer RNA, 72 nt
Organism: Ovis aries (sheep)
Lineage: Eukaryota; Metazoa; Chordata; Mammalia; Artiodactyla; Bovidae
Rfam family: tRNA
About the family: Transfer RNA (tRNA) molecules are approximately 80 nucleotides in length. Their secondary structure includes four short double-helical elements and three loops (D, anti-codon, and T loops). Further hydrogen bonds mediate the characteristic L-shaped molecular structure. tRNAs have two regions of fundamental functional importance: the anti-codon, which is responsible for specific mRNA codon recognition, and the 3' end, to which the tRNAs corresponding amino acid is attached (by aminoacyl-tRNA synthetases). tRNAs cope with the degeneracy of the genetic code in two manners: having more than one tRNA (with a specific anti-codon) for a particular amino acid; and 'wobble' base-pairing, i.e. permitting non-standard base-pairing at the 3rd anti-codon position.
Source: Rfam